UCAGGGAUAGUUCAAAUGGAGGAACGCCCGGCUCUGAACCGGGAGGUUGGGGGUUCAAGUCCCUCUCCCUGGA
RNAcentral lists this transfer RNA (73 nucleotides) under Planctomycetota bacterium. RNAcentral's name for it is "tRNA-Gln". It matches the Rfam family "tRNA". Rfam says of the family: Transfer RNA (tRNA) molecules are approximately 80 nucleotides in length. Their secondary structure includes four short double-helical elements and three loops (D, anti-codon, and T loops). Lineage: Bacteria; Pseudomonadati; Planctomycetota. The record is from RNAcentral.